RNAcentral lists this long non-coding RNA (334 nucleotides) under Phoenix dactylifera (date palm). RNAcentral describes it as "long non-coding RNA (PDAC_LNC009144)". The record is from RNAcentral. Lineage: Eukaryota; Viridiplantae; Streptophyta; Magnoliopsida; Arecales; Arecaceae.
GCCCCGGCCGUCGAAGAGUCCAAGGAAGAAGCCCCAGCCGUAGCACCAGAGGAGGCCGCCCCAGAAGCACCACCAGUAGAGCCCGAGGAGAAGAAGCCUGUCGAAGAGCCUGCGGUCGAGGCACCAGCCGAGACUGAACCAGUGGCUACGGAGCCGAAAGAAGAACCCAAGCCAAAGGCAGAACCGGAGGCCCCAGCUCCCGAGCCCGAGAAGCCUGCCGAACCGGUCGUCGAAGAGCCGACCAUGGAGGAGCCCAAGGCUGUCGAAGAGGCAGCACCGCCAGCGGUGGAGGAGGUGAAGGCUGAGGAGACGGAGGAGAAGACCGCGGUCUCGG